Molecule: long non-coding RNA, 3899 nt
Organism: Macadamia integrifolia
Lineage: Eukaryota; Viridiplantae; Streptophyta; Magnoliopsida; Proteales; Proteaceae
Exons: 6
Source: RefSeq, a predicted model, not a curated record
UGUGGAAUCUAUCACUUAGCUCUUUAGAAAAGAAAACUAAUUUUUACAUUGACACAAAGUGCUGCUUCACUUCAAUAUAGAGAUUUUCCUUAACUUCCCAACUUCGUGGACAUGUUCAAUUUCAUUCUGAAUUUUCUUUCCGAAACUGUACUUACCCAUGCAAUAAGGCAGUAAAGGAGAAAAAAAGUUGUUUUUAUUUGUCACAGAAGACCUGAUGCUGGAUUUCAAAUCCAAGGCUGUCUUAAAAAAUAUGAUCUUGCUAUGUGUCUUUCAAUUUUUACUUGUAAUGGAAUUUCUUAUAGAAAAGCAUUUAGAAAUGAACAAACUGGAAGGCAGUUUCCCAAAGAGAGCGGGCAAAUGCAAAAGAACUGUAUACCUUAAUCAUAGAACCUGCUACAGAAACCGUAUGCAGUUAACAACUACAAACACCUACCAAAAAGUCCGGAUUGACAUGGUAAUGUAGAACUAGGUUGACAAGUCAAACCAAGCUCACAACUGUAGGAUACUUUAAUCAAGAAACAACCGAUAAUCAAGGUAUAACAACAAUACAGCGCAAAUCAGAUUAAGAGAAGAGAUCAGGUCUGGAAAUCAAGCCUGCCAAUUCCAGAAAUUAAGGUUUCUGAGACCAGAAUAGAGCUAGAUGUGUAAGGUAGCUAGGAUGCUGAAAUAGGACCAAGAAUCACUCAUCAAACAUGGCUAGAUUUCAUAUAACCAGAGGGUAUGCAGAUCCAUUCAAUCGAUCUCUGUUUCAGGCCUGAAAACAGAGCAGAAAUCAAUACAGGACAAGAACUUGGUGAUUUCUUAUAUUUCACCAACCACAGGUCAGAAUGACCUGAAAAUUGGAUCCAAGGGGUGCCUUAAUGGGUGGAUGUUUCGACCCAAAUAUCCAGCCCUGGAGGAUGGCUGAUUUGCUCUAGAGAGUUAUGGGUUGGUAACUUGGUGCACAAGUAACUCAGAAAAUUCAGGGCAGAACUGAAUGUAAAACUGGAACUGAUACCUGUAAGAACUUGAGCAGAUCAGUAACAGCUUGAAUAGUUGAGAGGAGAAGAAGAUAAGUCAGGAAGAGGACCUCUCAGGCUUCACCUCGCAAAGAGUCACCGGAUCACACACCAGUCCAUCUACUUUGAUAAAACACAAAGCAAGUUCUCAGCAAGAGAAGCAGGAGCAGCAGCAACAAGGUAGUUUCUGUAAAUUGUGGGAGGCUAGAGGCCCUCCUAUGCUUUAUUUAUAAUUUUUGAUGGGGGAGGGAAUUACAAAAUAGAAGGUUCCAUAAAAAGAAACCUUAAUUAGACUCCUGAUGCAGUAGUUACUAAAAUCUGAAAUAGAAACUGCUGAAAAGGAAACUAAGGACUUUAAGAAACUUGUCCUCUAAGAACAAACUAAACCAAACCACAUAAUAAACAAACCAAAAUAAAACCCCAUCUAAUCAAAAUCAUGAGCUGCUUGGGCAGCUCCUAAGCAACCUGGCCGACAGUGCCCUCUUCUGUCUCCUUGUGUAUGUCUUCAGUGCUGCAUCACAUGGAAAAUGAAAGGUUGAAAAGAGGAAAAACCAGAGAAAAAGAGAUAAUCAUCAAUGUUUCCCUACUUAAAAAAAAUGAAAGAAAGAAAAAGUAAUUAUCAGGGAGAUAGAAUUGUUGUUAUAUUUUGUUUUCCAAUUUUGAAUCGUAUGCUUUAUGUAAGGGUGAAAAGGAAAAUGUAUACAAAUAUCAGUUUUUUCUACAUGAUGAAUGCACUGAUUCAAAUCAUGAUUAUCAGUAUCACCAAGUUAUUUCCCAUAUAACAAGGAAGCUUCAUUUUUCAAAAUUCUGCCUGGUCAAUACACAUAUCAUGUUCUUCAACAGGGUGGAAUCAUUCACUCUAAAGAUGAAUAACUCACCAGGUUCCUUACCAUGUAAAAAUGAUGCUUCACUUUUAAAAAUCUGCCAUGUCAGUGUUUCCAUGUCUAUGUUGGAAAUCAACACUUAAAUUUCAAUAUAGAACCUUACAUUAUUUUCCCAGCAGGUGCAGUCUCUGACUACACCACAUGUCCAUGCCUUCGUUACUGAGGUCCCCUCAAGAAAAAAUAUUCCCAUGUUUCCACGUUAUGUGAUUUGGUGAUGCUUUUGUCCUCAUCAAGCUGUGGAGUGCUUUUCUUGCAAAUGUACCCAAGUGUCUUAUGUCAUACGGAGUAAUGGAGAACAUAAAGAAUUUUUUUCUUGCUGGUUUGGACCUGUUGAGAAGGUUGGGGAGGCCCACCAAUGAAGUCCAACUGACUCUUCAAAUUUUGUAGCUUCAGCCCCUCAAUCAAUUCCUCCCAAGCUUACAGAAACAUCUGCACACAAGAUCUAUCAUAGUAAGCUAAAAUGGUAAACUGCAGAGAAGAGUUAGCAAUAUUGUAGUAAAAACGCAAAUGAGUUUGUACUUAUAUGUAAAUGUGUAAUGAGUAAAUUUCCUAGUAAUGGUCUGUUUUGUUGGACAUGCUGUUCCUUUCUUCUCUAUGUAUGGUUUAUUGUCCUCUGCAUGCGGAGCAAAACUUCAUGAUAACUUCUAUCAUCUUCAUGUGAUAUUAUGCAUUAGAUUCCCAUACGUCCAUUACUGAUUUUGUUGAUGGUAAAUAUCAUUUGGCCUGUGGCUGGAGCACCAACAAGUCAUUCCUACACCAUCACAUCUUGACAUCUAACUCAAAGGAUUAGGACUCAAAACUGAAUGGGUACCUCCAAGGAGAUUUCUUGGUGUCAAGAGGGAGCAGAUCACUAGGAUAAAUACUUUUGUCUGAUACUCGGUAUUAGGGUGACAUCCUCUUCACUAGCUCCAGAUUCUUUUACUCAACUCAUCAUGCUUCUGGUCACUAUGUUUCUCUCCAACCUGAGAAAGAGUUGAGUUUUUCUCACUUUUCUAUUGAUCUAUUGCAUUGCCACCAGGGUUCAGUAUGUAUAGUUAAUGCAGUCAGUGAAAGAGACAUGGCCAUAUUUACAGCAGGAAUGAUCCAGGCAAGAUCUUGCGGAACUGAAGGGGAAACGUUUUUUAUGCCACACAGCUGCUAGCUUUGUUUCUGCUCGAAUUGGAAUAAGGCCAAGGGCUCCGAUAUUACCAAAAGAUAUGGGAAUAAGUAAAGCAAGGGAUGGGGGCUCAUAGUUGUAGGGUCAUAUGUUCCAAAGACCACAAAACAGGUUGACGAUCUCAAAUCCCAAUUCGGCCAUGUCCUAAGAUGCAUUGAGGUAUCUGUUGAUAAACUUGCCAUUCGGUCAUUGCAGAAGAGGGAGUAGGAGAUCGAUCGGGCAGCUGAAAUGGCUGAUGUUCUCAUUAUAGGCUGUAAAGACACUCUAGUAACGACAAGUCGAGAGCUUAUUACUGGAAAAUCUGCUUCAGAGAGCCUAGAAAAUCAAUUUCAAAGUCAGUUCUGUACUGGUGGAAAUUGUGUGGCAGAUAACUACACGGCCUCAUUACAUUCUUGCCAAGGGGUCAUUGCUUGGAGCAAUGGCAAAGGGCUUUUUCCGCCUGCGCAGUGGUGCAUGAUCGAGUCCUGGGAACCAGCCUCUCUGUAAAGGGGGUAAGGCUAUCUACGUAUAUACCCUCCCAGAAUCCUGCUUAAGUGCGGGAAGCCUUUGUGCACUGGGCAACGGCCUUUCCUUUUUUCUUUUUUAUAUACUUGUAUUUCAGGGUGGCAUUACCUCCUCAGAUCUUGAUACAAAAGCUUUAGAAGCAAAACGUGCCAUGGUAGUUGGGCAGUCUUUAGCUGGUGUACCUUUGUGGCAGCUUUGGUUUUUAACUUCUUUCUUAUGAUAUAUUAUGAAGAAUCUGAUAAUUCCAAAAGAAAUGAGGGACAAUUUGAAUCCUCCACAAUAUGAUCUCGAGCAUUUGAAACUGAAAAAGAGAAAACCAACAGUGGGGCUUAAUGAAGAAUUUAUGAAUAGCUUGCU